Molecule: long non-coding RNA, 492 nt
Filed under: Capra hircus (goat)
Lineage: Eukaryota; Metazoa; Chordata; Mammalia; Artiodactyla; Bovidae
Description: lncRNA (ENSCHIG00000002770.1)
Source: RNAcentral
GGUUUGCAGAGGCGGAGGGUAAUGGGAGGCAACAGCUUACCAAUAUCGCUAUUCUCAGCUCCUUGAGUGCAGCGCCAGGGCAUGUUGACUGGGGCCCCUCUGACAACGUCCACUCACAUGGGAUCCAGCUUGAGGCCACUGCAUCAACUGUCCUUGAUGAUGGGGAAGAAUAAGUGUGCCAUGGCAGAAGGCUGUCCUCAGAAGAGGAACAGUAAGAUAGCAAUUUCAAUGAGAUAAUACCACAAAGCGAACUCAGUGACGCACACAGGCAGCUGAUAACAGCUGACACAUGUGGAUCUUAAGCCAAGUGUGUAUUAUCAGAAAACGAGCUAAAAACCCCGUAAAACUCCCCACUGCCUGACUUGAAAACAUUCCUUUUGAAAUUGGUUAAUGACUGAUAAUAUUUUAAGUUUUGCAUGCAAACACACUUCCAGAAAUAUGAAUUGAAAGCAAGAGUAUGCCCCUUUAAUGAAUGUGAGCUAGGUACACAAC